AAUGAAAAUGCAUAGUUCGCUAAUCCAUCGGCAAGACGAUUAGCUUCACU
This 50-nucleotide small RNA is filed under the name Arabidopsis thaliana (thale cress). RNAcentral's name for it is "ATSL043530". The record is from RNAcentral. Lineage: Eukaryota; Viridiplantae; Streptophyta; Magnoliopsida; Brassicales; Brassicaceae.